GGCGGGGUAGCCAAGUGGUAAGGCAGGGGACUGCAAAUCCCUUAUCACGGGUUCGAUUCCCGUCCCCGCCUC
RNAcentral lists this transfer RNA (72 nucleotides) under Egicoccus halophilus. RNAcentral describes it as "tRNA-Cys". It matches the Rfam family "tRNA". From Rfam's summary of the family: Transfer RNA (tRNA) molecules are approximately 80 nucleotides in length. Their secondary structure includes four short double-helical elements and three loops (D, anti-codon, and T loops). Further hydrogen bonds mediate the characteristic L-shaped molecular structure. tRNAs have two regions of fundamental functional importance: the anti-codon, which is responsible for specific mRNA codon recognition, and the 3' end, to which the tRNAs corresponding amino acid is attached (by aminoacyl-tRNA synthetases). tRNAs cope with the degeneracy of the genetic code in two manners: having more than one tRNA (with a specific anti-codon) for a particular amino acid; and 'wobble' base-pairing, i.e. permitting non-standard base-pairing at the 3rd anti-codon position. The record is from RNAcentral. Lineage: Bacteria; Bacillati; Actinomycetota; Nitriliruptoria; Egicoccales; Egicoccaceae.